Acanthosepion pharaonis is the source of this 104-nucleotide non-coding RNA. The record is from the annotation of a GenBank genome assembly. Lineage: Eukaryota; Metazoa; Mollusca; Cephalopoda; Sepiida; Sepiidae.
UAUCACAUUGAAAACCGGUUUCCGUAUGAUCACAGAAGUUAAGCAAUGUCGAGCCUGUUCGGUAACUAGAUGGGUGUCCGCUUGGGAAUACCAAAUGAUGUAAG